This 1116-nucleotide ribosomal RNA is filed under the name Campylobacter jejuni. RNAcentral describes it as "partial 23S ribosomal RNA". It matches the Rfam family "Bacterial large subunit ribosomal RNA", at positions 376 to 1498 of the family's 2925-position model. Lineage: Bacteria; Pseudomonadati; Campylobacterota; Epsilonproteobacteria; Campylobacterales; Campylobacteraceae. The record is from RNAcentral.
UAUGCGAAAAACAAACCUUAGCUAGCAGUAUCCUGAGUAGGGCGGGACACGAGGAAUCCUGUCUGAAUCCGGGUCGACCACGAUCCAACCCUAAAUACUAAUACCAGAUCGAUAGUGCACAAGUACCGUGAGGGAAAGGUGAAAAGAACUGAGGUGAUCAGAGUGAAAUAGAACCUGAAACCAUUUGCUUACAAUCAUUCAGAGCCCUAUGUAGCAAUACAGGGUGAUGGACUGCCUUUUGCAUAAUGAGCCUGCGAGUUGUGGUGUCUGGCAAGGUUAAGCAAACGCGAAGCCGUAGCGAAAGCGAGUCUGAAUAGGGCGCUUAGUCAGAUGCUGCAGACCCGAAACGAAGUGAUCUAUCCAUGAGCAAGUUGAAGCUAGUGUAAGAACUAGUGGAGGACUGAACCCAUAGGCGUUGAAAAGCCCCGGGAUGACUUGUGGAUAGGGGUGAAAGGCCAAUCAAACUUCGUGAUAGCUGGUUCUCUCCGAAAUAUAUUUAGGUAUAGCGUUGUGUCGUAAUAUAAGGGGGUAGAGCACUGAAUGGGCUAGGGCAUACACCAAUGUACCAAACCCUAUCAAACUCCGAAUACCUUAUAUGUAAUCACAGCAGUCAGGCGGCGAGUGAUAAAAUCCGUCGUCAAGAGGGAAACAACCCAGACUACCAGCUAAGGUCCCUAAAUCUUACUUAAGUGGAAAACGAUGUGAAGUUACUUAAACAACCAGGAGGUUGGCUUAGAAGCAGCCAUCCUUUAAAGAAAGCGUAAUAGCUCACUGGUCUAGUGAUUUUGCGCGGAAAAUAUAACGGGGCUAAAGUAAGUACCGAAGCUGUAGACUUAGUUUACUAAGUGGUAGGAGAGCGUUCUAUUUGCGUCGAAGGUAUACCGGUAAGGAGUGCUGGAGCGAAUAGAAGUGAGCAUGCAGGCAUGAGUAGCGAUAAUUAAUGUGAGAAUCAUUAACGCCGUAAACCCAAGGUUUCCUACGCGAUGCUCGUCAUCGUAGGGUUAGUCGGGUCCUAAGUCGAGUCCGAAAGGGGUAGACGAUGGCAAAUUGGUUAAUAUUCCAAUACCAACAUUAGUGUGCGAUGGAAGGACGCUUAGGGCUAAGGGGGCUAGCGGA